UACCAAAUACUAACUAUCUAACAGAAAAAAAAUCGCAUCAUAAAUAGAGCUAAUACCUCAUGGAUAUGACAUCUUCCACCUCACCGCAGAAAGCCAUGC
This is a long non-coding RNA of Ipomoea nil (Japanese morning glory), 99 nucleotides long. RefSeq lists it as uncharacterized. The record is from RefSeq and is a predicted model, not a curated record. The transcript has 3 exons. Lineage: Eukaryota; Viridiplantae; Streptophyta; Magnoliopsida; Solanales; Convolvulaceae.